UAAGGGGCUAAUACCGAGAGUGCUCCACCUGUUCCCAUCCCGAACACAGAAGUGAAAUCUCUCAAGGCCGAUGAUAGUGAGAAAUAUCUCGCGAAAGUAGGUAGGCCUCUUAC
This 113-nucleotide ribosomal RNA is filed under the name bacterium. The record is from RNAcentral.